ACCUGGUUGAUCCUGCCAGUAGUCAUAUGCUUGUCUCAAAGCUUAAGCCAUGCAAGUGUAAGUUCAUGCCGUAAACGAAUGGUGAAACCGCGAAUGGCUCAGGAACCGGACCUAAUCCUCGGGACCGUAUUCCUCACCGCGAGGAGAGUGGAUAACUGUGGCAAUUCUAGAGCUAAUACAUGCAACCGAAGCCGCGAUCGCAGGUCGCACCCGGGCGUCGGGCCGAAAAACGUCGUUCGGCAGCCGUCGCGUUCUUCGCGGCGUCGCCGCCGUUCGUCGCCGGCGCCCGCUCGGCCGGAUCCGGGGGCGCGCCUCGCGGCGUUGCCUCUCCCGGUCGCGACGAUACGGUCGGCCUUUCGCAUUGGUCGCGGCGCAAAUAUUAGACUGAGACCGACGCGUACGGGUCGCCGCAGCAGCCGCCGUGCUUCGCGCGCGGGUCCGGGCGUGCGGCGUCUUCACGCCCUUCGAUUUUGGUGACUCUGGAUAACUGUCAGUACGAUCGCACGGGCUAGUAUCGACUAGCCUUCGCGCGACGGGUCCCCCGCGAGUCCGCCCUAUCAACUGUCGACGGCCCGGUAAGUGCCGACCGUGGUGGCAACGGGUAACGGGGAAUCAGGGUUCGAUUCCGGAGAGGGAGCAUGCGAAACGGCUACCACAUCCAAGGAAGGCAGCAGGCGCGCAAAUUACCCACUCCCGGCACGGGGAGGUAGUGACGAAAAAUAACGACGCGGGACUCUGUCGAGGCCCCGCGAUCGGAAUGAGUACACUUCAAAUCCGUUAACGAGGAUCGACCGGAGGGCAAGUCUGGUGCCAGCAGCCGCGGUAAUUCCAGCUCCGGUAGCGUAUAUUAAAAUUGUUGCGUUUGAAAAGCUCGUAGUCGGAAUUCGGGUCUCGAAAACGUGCCCCAGCACGUUCGGGGCGACGGCGCCUUUGCGGUCGCGCUCCGCGCGCGUCCGCUUCGGUCGUCCGUUCGCACUCCCGGCCCUAUUCGCCGGUGCGUGCGCGGUCGGGCCGCGGAGCUCUGCGCGCAUCGCCGCCGCGUCGGCCGCCCUGCCCUGUCUUCGCCCGUCCGGUUUCACGCUCGCGCGCGCGGCGGGCCUCGAGUCCGUCCGCGCGCGCGGGUCGGUCGGGAGCCACGAAGCAGGUGUCUUUGGGGCACCGUUUGCGUUGCGGUAGCGCGUCCAUCUCCCGGUCGUUUCGGCCCGCACGGUUCCUCCGAGGGUGCUCUUCGCCGAGUGUCCGAGGCGGCCGGUACGUUCACUGUGAAAAAAUUAGAGUGCUCAGAGCGAGCCCCGCCGGCUUGCAUACGAAAAGCAUGGAAUGAUGGAAAAUGGCCUCGUCCGCGCGUCAUCCGUCGGUCUCCGUUCACGACGAGGCAAUGAUCGAAGGGAGCGAUCGGGGCCACUCGUAUUGCGACGUUAGAGGUGAAAUUCUUGGAUCGUCGCAAGACGCACUGCAGCGACGGCGUGUGGCAAGCACGUUUUCCUCGAUCAAGAGCGAAAGUCGGAGGUUCGAAGACGAUCAGAUACCGUCGUAGUUCCGACCGUAAACGAUGCCGACUGGCGCUCCGCCGGCGUUCGCUUCGAUGACCCGGCGGGGAGCCUGCGCGGGAAACCAUAGUCGGUUCCGGGGGGAGUAUGGUUGCAAAACAGAAACUUAAAGGAAUUGACGGAAGGGCACCACCAGGAGUGGAGCCUGCGGCUUAAUUUGACUCAACACGGGAAAACUCACCCGGUCCGGACACCGGUAGGAUUGACAGAUCGAUAGCUCUUUCUCGAUUCGGUGGGUGGUGGUGCAUGGCCGUUCUUAGUUGGUGGAGCGAUCCGUCUGGUUGAUUCCGAUAACGAACGAGACUCCGGCCUGCUAACUAGCGCGUCGAUUAGUGCUUUUCCGGUAGCGCGGCGGCGCCGAAGCCGUCGUCGGUAGCUCCGCGCGCGGCUCGGGCUUGCCGUUGCCGCCGCUCUCCUUCGCGUCCGGCGCUGCGGCCUCGUCCGGUUGCUCCUCGUGGGCGGUCGCGGCGUGGUUGCGGCGUCGGUUGCGGAGCGGCGGCGGUGACCCGGUCGGCUCGGCCCGCGCGAGCCCGGUGGCGGCACGCUGUCGCGUCCGGGCCAGUCGGUUGGCGAACGCAGCGCUUCUUAGAGGGACGGGCGGCAGAAAGCCGCACGAGGCGGAGCGAUAACAGGUCUGUGAUGCCCUUAGAUGUCCGGGGCCGCACGCGCGCUACACUGGAGGUAUCAGCGGGCGCUUCUCCCCCGGCCCGAGAGGGUCGGGAAACCUCUGAACCACCUCCCGUGAUAGGGAUCGGGGCCUGGAACCAACCCCGUGAACGAGGAAUUCCCGGUAGGCGCGGGUCAUCAGCCCGCGUCGAUCACGUCCCUGCCCUUUGUACACACCGCCCGUCGCUACUACCGAUCGAACGGUCCGGUGAGGUCCUCGGAUCUGGCCGACGAGUUCGCUUACGCGCGGCGGCGUUCCGCGUCGUCGUGGGCGCGUUCUCUGAUGGCCCGGAGAAGACGACCGAACCCGAUCGCUUAGAGGAAGUAAAAGUCGUAACAAGGUUUCCGUAGGUGAACCUGCGGAAGGAUCAUUA
This 2590-nucleotide ribosomal RNA is filed under the name Pteroctopus tetracirrhus. Its description in RNAcentral is "partial small subunit ribosomal RNA". It matches the Rfam family "Eukaryotic small subunit ribosomal RNA". The record is from RNAcentral. Lineage: Eukaryota; Metazoa; Mollusca; Cephalopoda; Octopoda; Octopodidae.